UACGGAGGGUGCAAGCGUUAUCCGGAUUCACUGGGUUUAAAGGGUGUGUAGGCGGGCUUUUAAGUCAGCGGUGAAAUCUCCGGGCUCAACCCGGAAACUGCCAUUGAUACUAUUAGUCUUGAAUAUCGUUGAGGUUGGCGGAAUAUAUCAUGUAGCGGUGAAAUGCAUAGAUAUGAUAUAGAACACCGAUUGCGAAGGCAGCUAACUAAGCGAUGAUUGACGCUGAGGCACGAAAGCGUGGGGAUCAAACAGG
Molecule: ribosomal RNA, 253 nt
Filed under: uncultured bacterium
Lineage: Bacteria
Also listed under: 1 other name
Description: partial 16S ribosomal RNA
Rfam family: Bacterial small subunit ribosomal RNA
Source: RNAcentral